Non-coding RNA from Bactrocera oleae (olive fruit fly), 785 nucleotides. Lineage: Eukaryota; Metazoa; Arthropoda; Insecta; Diptera; Tephritidae. The record is from RefSeq and is a predicted model, not a curated record.
AUCCGGAGCCUACGUUACUCGCUUGGGCUUAGUGUUGUUUGUGUGUUUGCUUGCCUGCCUGUUCGCUUGGGACAGGUCUACAGCAGUGAAGUGGAAACAAGUUUUACGUCCCAACUUCAACGCGUCCGCCUAGUUGGUAGGCGUUUGUGCGCCAUCGCUCCCCUCUUUCCGAGCCCAGCAUCGGUCCACACGGCACGUCGCCCCAACUAAAGACGUUUUUGUGUUUGUUGUUCGCGCUCUGCGCUCUGCGCUCGGUGUGUGUAAUUCACUCGUUCAUAGUUCUCUCCCUCGCUGCUCCAAAUUCGCCUGUGCAUUCGCGUUCGUACAGUUAAUUUGUAUCGUUUGUGUUGUUGCAUUUGUUGUUGCCGUUACUGCUGCUGCUAACUUGCAGUCUUAACCUUUUCGGUAGAGCUACUGUUGCUGUUGUUGUUGCUGCUGUUACUGCUGAGUAUUGUGUUUUGUGCAACAGUGCAGCCGCUUGUCUUCUACAUAAAUUGCAAUAAAAUACAUGCUCAUGUAUGCGUAAAAAUACAUAAAUAUAUGAAGUGUUCGUUUGUGAAGCUUAAUCAGAGUAAAUAUUCAAAUAUCGUAAUAUAAUUAACAACUGUCGCGAAUGGCUCUUAUAUAAAUAUACCUAUACACAAAUGUGAAUGCAAUAAAGUAAAUAAAUAAUAAUAAUGAAGUGUGCUUAAAACUACAAACAAACUCACUACAACAACACAUGCAUCUUGAAUUAAAUGGAAUAAGUCUGCUACAACUACAAUUAUAUAUUUCUUGACUGGUGA